This 85-nucleotide transfer RNA is filed under the name Porphyromonas catoniae. RNAcentral describes it as "tRNA-Leu(caa)". It matches the Rfam family "tRNA". Rfam says of the family: Transfer RNA (tRNA) molecules are approximately 80 nucleotides in length. Their secondary structure includes four short double-helical elements and three loops (D, anti-codon, and T loops). Further hydrogen bonds mediate the characteristic L-shaped molecular structure. tRNAs have two regions of fundamental functional importance: the anti-codon, which is responsible for specific mRNA codon recognition, and the 3' end, to which the tRNAs corresponding amino acid is attached (by aminoacyl-tRNA synthetases). tRNAs cope with the degeneracy of the genetic code in two manners: having more than one tRNA (with a specific anti-codon) for a particular amino acid; and 'wobble' base-pairing, i.e. permitting non-standard base-pairing at the 3rd anti-codon position. The record is from RNAcentral. Lineage: Bacteria; Pseudomonadati; Bacteroidota; Bacteroidia; Bacteroidales; Porphyromonadaceae. RNAcentral also lists the same sequence under 1 other name.
CCCCUUGUGGCGAAACAGGCAGACGCGCUCGACUCAAAAUCGAGUUCCGAAAGGAGUGUGAGUUCGACUCUCACCGAGGGGACCA